Molecule: ribosomal RNA, 2906 nt
Filed under: Escherichia coli
Lineage: Bacteria; Pseudomonadati; Pseudomonadota; Gammaproteobacteria; Enterobacterales; Enterobacteriaceae
Description: 23S ribosomal RNA
Rfam family: Bacterial large subunit ribosomal RNA
Source: RNAcentral
GGUUAAGCGACUAAGCGUACACGGUGGAUGCCCUGGCAGUCAGAGGCGAUGAAGGACGUGCUAAUCUGCGAUAAGCGUCGGUAAGGUGAUAUGAACCGUUAUAACCGGCGAUUUCCGAAUGGGGAAACCCAGUGUGAUUCGUCACACUAUCAUUAACUGAAUCCAUAGGUUAAUGAGGCGAACCGGGGGAACUGAAACAUCUAAGUACCCCGAGGAAAAGAAAUCAACCGAGAUUCCCCCAGUAGCGGCGAGCGAACGGGGAGCAGCCCAGAGCCUGAAUCAGUGUGUGUGUUAGUGGAAGCGUCUGGAAAGGCGCGCGAUACAGGGUGACAGCCCCGUACACAAAAAUGCACAUACUGUGAGCUCGAUGAGUAGGGCGGGACACGUGGUAUCCUGUCUGAAUAUGGGGGGACCAUCCUCCAAGGCUAAAUACUCCUGACUGACCGAUAGUGAACCAGUACCGUGAGGGAAAGGCGAAAAGAACCCCGGCGAGGGGAGUGAAAAAGAACCUGAAACCGUGUACGUACAAGCAGUGGGAGCACAGAGCAAUCUGUGUGACUGCGUACCUUUUGUAUAAUGGGUCAGCGACUUAUAUUCUGUAGCAAGGUUAACCGAAUAGGGGAGCCGAAGGGAAACCGAGUCUUAACUGGGCGUUAAGUUGCAGGGUAUAGACCCGAAACCCGGUGAUCUAGCCAUGGGCAGGUUGAAGGUUGGGUAACACUAACUGGAGGACCGAACCGACUAAUGUUGAAAAAUUAGCGGAUGACUUGUGGCUGGGGGUGAAAGGCCAAUCAAACCGGGAGAUAGCUGGUUCUCCCCGAAAGCUAUUUAGGUAGCGCCUCGUGAAUUCAUCUCCGGGGGUAGAGCACUGUUUCGGCAAGGGGGUCAUCCCGACUUACCAACCCGAUGCAAACUGCGAAUACCGGAGAAUGUUAUCACGGGAGACACACGGCGGGUGCUAACGUCCGUCGUGAAGAGGGAAACAACCCAGACCGCCAGCUAAGGUCCCAAAGUCAUGGUUAAGUGGGAAACGAUGUGGGAAGGCCCAGACAGCCAGGAUGUUGGCUUAGAAGCAGCCAUCAUUUAAAGAAAGCGUAAUAGCUCACUGGUCGAGUCGGCCUGCGCGGAAGAUGUAACGGGGCUAAACCAUGCACCGAAGCUGCGGCAGCGACGCUUAUGCGUUGUUGGGUAGGGGAGCGUCCUGUAAGCCUGUGAAGGUGUGCUGUGAGGCAUGCUGGAGGUAUCAGAAGUGCGAAUGCUGACAUAAGUAACGAUAAAGCGGGUGAAAAGCCCGCUCGCCGGAAGACCAAGGGUUCCUGUCCAACGUUAAUCGGGGCAGGGUGAGUCGACCCCUAAGGCGAGGCCGAAAGGCGUAGUCGAUGGGAAACAGGUUAAUAUUCCUGUACUUGGUGUUACUGCGAAGGGGGGACGGAGAAGGCUAUGUUGGCCGGGCGACGGUUGUCCCGGUUUAAGCGUGUAGGCUGGUUUUCCAGGCAAAUCCGGAAAAUCAAGGCUGAGGCGUGAUGACGAGGCACUACGGUGCUGAAGCAACAAAUGCCCUGCUUCCAGGAAAAGCCUCUAAGCAUCAGGUAACAUCAAAUCGUACCCCAAACCGACACAGGUGGUCAGGUAGAGAAUACCAAGGCGCUUGAGAGAACUCGGGUGAAGGAACUAGGCAAAAUGGUGCCGUAACUUCGGGAGAAGGCACGCUGAUAUGUAGGUGAAGUCCCUCGCGGAUGGAGCUGAAAUCAGUCGAAGAUACCAGCUGGCUGCAACUGUUUAUUAAAAACACAGCACUGUGCAAACACGAAAGUGGACGUAUACGGUGUGACGCCUGCCCGGUGCCGGAAGGUUAAUUGAUGGGGUCAGCGCAAGCGAAGCUCUUGAUCGAAGCCCCGGUAAACGGCGGCCGUAACUAUAACGGUCCUAAGGUAGCGAAAUUCCUUGUCGGGUAAGUUCCGACCUGCACGAAUGGCGUAAUGAUGGCCAGGCUGUCUCCACCCGAGACUCAGUGAAAUUGAACUCGCUGUGAAGAUGCAGUGUACCCGCGGCAAGACGGAAAGACCCCGUGAACCUUUACUAUAGCUUGACACUGAACAUUGAGCCUUGAUGUGUAGGAUAGGUGGGAGGCUUUGAAGUGUGGACGCCAGUCUGCAUGGAGCCGACCUUGAAAUACCACCCUUUAAUGUUUGAUGUUCUAACGUUGACCCGUGAUCCGGGUUGCGGACAGUGUCUGGUGGGUAGUUUGACUGGGGCGGUCUCCUCCUAAAGAGUAACGGAGGAGCACGAAGGUUGGCUAAUCCUGGUCGGACAUCAGGAGGUUAGUGCAAUGGCAUAAGCCAGCUUGACUGCGAGCGUGACGGCGCGAGCAGGUGCGAAAGCAGGUCAUAGUGAUCCGGUGGUUCUGAAUGGAAGGGCCAUCGCUCAACGGAUAAAAGGUACUCCGGGGAUAACAGGCUGAUACCGCCCAAGAGUUCAUAUCGACGGCGGUGUUUGGCACCUCGAUGUCGGCUCAUCACAUCCUGGGGCUGAAGUAGGUCCCAAGGGUAUGGCUGUUCGCCAUUUAAAGUGGUACGCGAGCUGGGUUUAGAACGUCGUGAGACAGUUCGGUCCCUAUCUGCCGUGGGCGCUGGAGAACUGAGGGGGGCUGCUCCUAGUACGAGAGGACCGGAGUGGACGCAUCACUGGUGUUCGGGUUGUCAUGCCAAUGGCACUGCCCGGUAGCUAAAUGCGGAAGAGAUAAGUGCUGAAAGCAUCUAAGCACGAAACUUGCCCCGAGAUGAGUUCUCCCUGACUCCUUGAGAGUCCUGAAGGAACGUUGAAGACGACGACGUUGAUAGGCCGGGUGUGUAAGCGCAGCGAUGCGUUGAGCUAACCGGUACUAAUGAACCGUGAGGCUUAACCUU